RNAcentral lists this unclassified non-coding RNA (167 nucleotides) under uncultured Tremellales. RNAcentral's name for it is "sequence contains ITS2". The record is from RNAcentral. Lineage: Eukaryota; Fungi; Basidiomycota; Tremellomycetes; Tremellales.
AGCCUCAAUCCCCCGGGUUUCCGGGAAGAUUGGACUUGGGCGUCUGCCAUGCCACAUGGCUCGCCUUAAAUGACUCAGUGGAACGAUCGACUGUAGUCGGGAGUAAUAAGUUUCUCUCGGUCACGUUGAUUCAACCGCUCAUAACACUGUGGAAACACAAUUUAUGA